Rhipicephalus microplus (southern cattle tick) is the source of this 435-nucleotide long non-coding RNA. Lineage: Eukaryota; Metazoa; Arthropoda; Arachnida; Ixodida; Ixodidae. The record is from RefSeq and is a predicted model, not a curated record.
UCCAAGCAGUUUGAACAAUCGAUUGGACACCACUCUAAAGCAUCCGUGCACCACACACCUUGACACGAUGGAUUACAAUCAUGUUUUCCUGUGGAAAGUCAUGUCUCCUUCUCAUUUCUAUGUACAACCAUGCAAAUUCAUCACAAAUCUUGAUGAGCUUGAGAAGAACAUAGAGAAUGCAGUACGAAGGCAAACACUUAAAAAGCUGAAAUCUGUGCAUACUGGAGUGCUCUGCAUUGCACGUUGCAGCAACAAUGGAUUCUGAAACCUGUUGUGUGAACAACUUGCUAGAGCCACUUCCAUGGAUGCUGCUGCUGCCCUAUCAGGCCCUUUCAUGCAGCCUGGCUGGUAUUGGCCCCACGUCAGAGGAGUGGAGUCCAAAGGCACAGAGUGUUCUCGAAGACUUUGGCUAUGAUAAAAAUUUCAACCGCGCCU